RNAcentral lists this ribosomal RNA (423 nucleotides) under uncultured bacterium. RNAcentral describes it as "bacterial SSU rRNA". It matches the Rfam family "Bacterial small subunit ribosomal RNA", at positions 202 to 622 of the family's 1533-position model. The record is from RNAcentral.
AAGACCUUGUGCUUUUGGAGCGGCCGAUGCCUGAUUAGCUAGUUAGUGGGGUAAAGGCCUACCAAGGCGACGAUCAGUAGUUGGUCUGAGAGGACGACCAGCCACACUGGGACUGAGACACGGCCCAGACUCCUACGGGAGGCAGCAGUGGGGAAUUUUGGACAAUGGGCGAAAGCCUGAUCCAGCAAUGCCGCGUGAGUGAAGAAGGCCUUCGGGUUGUAAAGCUCUUUCAGUCGAGAAGAAAAGGUUGUGACUAAUAAUCACAACUUAUGACGGUAUCGACAGAAGAAGCACCGGCUAACUACGUGCCAGCAGCCGCGGUAAUACGUAGGGUGCAAGCGUUAAUCGGAAUUACUGGGCGUAAAGGGUGCGCAGGCGGCUCUGUAAGUCAGAUGUGAAAUCCCCGGGCUUAACCUGGGAAUU